UACUAAUAUUAAAGGCAACGCCUGCCCAGUGAACAAUUAAACGGCCGCGGUACCCUAACCGUGCAAAGGUAGCAUAAUCAUUUGUCUAUUAACUGUAGACCUGUAUGAAAGGCAAAAUGAGGAUUUAACUGUCUCUUGCAAUAAAUCUAUUAAACUGAUCUCCCAGUAAAAAAGCUGGGAUACCACCAUAAGACCAGAAGACCCUGUGAAGCUUUAACUAUACUAUUAAACCCAAUAAUAACUAAUUUAGGUUGGGGCGACCUUGGAAAUAAAAAGAACUUCCAAAUACAACACACUAUACAGGCCCACAUGCCAACAAAUGACCCAGUAAACUGACAAUUGAACAAAGUUACUCCAGGGAUAACAGCGCUAUCUUCUUCAAGAGCCCAUAUCAAAAAGAAGGUUUACGACCUCGAUGUUGGAUCAGGACAUCCUAAUGGUGCAACCGCUAUUAAGGGUUCGUUUGUUCAACGAUUAAUGUCCU
Molecule: ribosomal RNA, 484 nt
Filed under: Tropidonophis picturatus
Lineage: Eukaryota; Metazoa; Chordata; Lepidosauria; Squamata; Natricidae
Description: partial large subunit ribosomal RNA
Rfam family: Bacterial large subunit ribosomal RNA
Source: RNAcentral